AGGAGAGAGAAGAGGCUGAAUACGAUAGACUACCGAAGUGAGCACGAUAGUUGUCUGAACUGUUCCUAGGGAUGGAACCUAGUGUCUCAUACCUGCUAGGCAUGCAGUCAACUGCUGAGCUACAGCCCCCAGCCCUGGUGCAGAAUCUGAUUAGAAUUGUUGGGAAAUCAGGCAUUGUGGAACACAUCUGUAAUCCCAGCACCUUGGAGGGACAUCUCAGGAGGAAGGGCCAUCCAACCAUGGAGCUGACUGAGGGACAGAAUUGAAGCAGGAAGAGGAGCUCAUCCAUGCGAACAUCAUUUAAGCAUCUGGCUCCAAGUGUGCCUGUAGCUGGUCCCUCCUUGGACUUUGUAGUUGAUUUGAUAAAUCAUUUUUUCUUCUAAUGCAUGAGUACUAUGUUUUGUUAGGUUUUCUUUUGGGGGCUGAAAAUGUACUUAUGAAAGUGUGUUGGUUGAGUAGAUUUGUGUUAGUAGUCUCAUGAUGAUCUGCGAGACUGAUAUUACCUUCAUUUAUCAGAUUCCAACUAUCUAAGGCUUAGAGGACAUAAGUAAGUUAACUCAUUUG
Molecule: non-coding RNA, 564 nt
Organism: Peromyscus maniculatus bairdii (prairie deer mouse)
Lineage: Eukaryota; Metazoa; Chordata; Mammalia; Rodentia; Cricetidae
Source: RefSeq, a predicted model, not a curated record